Molecule: non-coding RNA, 73 nt
Organism: Pangasianodon gigas (Mekong giant catfish)
Lineage: Eukaryota; Metazoa; Chordata; Actinopteri; Siluriformes; Pangasiidae
Source: the annotation of a GenBank genome assembly
GGCAGUGGUAGCGCAACGGUUUAGGCUCUGGGUUAAUGAUCAGGAAGUCGGAGUUCAAGCCCCAGCACUGCCA